GGAGUUAGCCGGUGCUUCUUCUGUGAGUGAUGUCCUUCCUGCCGGCUAUUAACCCGCAGGCCUUCUUCCUCACUGAAAGUGCUUUACAACCCGAAGGCCUUCUUCACACACGCGGCAUGGCUGGAUCAGGGUUGCCCCCAUUGUCCAAUAUUCCCCACUGCUGCCUCCCGUAGGAGUCUGGGCCGUGUCUCAGUCCCAGUGUGGCUGAUCAUCCUCUCAGACCAGCUACGGAUCGUCGCCUUGGUGAGCCGUUACCUCACCAACCAGCUAAUCCGACAUAGGCUCAUCCGAUAGCGCGAGGCCCGAAGGUCCCCCGCUUUCCCCCGUAGGGCGUAUGCGGUAUUAGCCUGGGUUUCCCCCAGGUUAUCCCCCACUACCGGGCAGAUUCCUAUGCAUUACUCACCCGUCCGCCGCUCGCCACCAGGGAGCAAGCUCCCCGUGCUGCCGCUCGACUUGCAUGUGUUAGGCCUGCCGCCAGCGUUCAAUCUGAACCAAGAUCAAAUUCUGA
RNAcentral lists this ribosomal RNA (508 nucleotides) under uncultured bacterium. RNAcentral's name for it is "partial 16S ribosomal RNA". The record is from RNAcentral.